This 301-nucleotide ribosomal RNA is filed under the name uncultured bacterium. Its description in RNAcentral is "partial 16S ribosomal RNA". It matches the Rfam family "Bacterial small subunit ribosomal RNA", at positions 509 to 809 of the family's 1533-position model. The record is from RNAcentral.
CAGUCGCCGCGGGAAUACGAAGGGGGCUAGCGUUGCUCGGAAUGACUGGGCGUAAAGGGCGCGUAGGCGGUUUUGACAGUCAGAUGUGAAAUUCCUGGGCUUAACCUGGGGGCUGCAUUUGAGGCGUCAAGACUAGAGGGUGAGAGAGGGUUGUGGAAUUCCCAGUGUAGAGGUGAAAUUCGUAGAUAUUGGGAAGAACACCGGUGGCGAAGGCGGCAACCUGGCUCAUUACUGACGCUGAGGCGCGAAAGCGUGGGGAGCAAACAGGAUUAGAUACCCCCGUAGUCCCUGUCUUUUAUAC